AUGAACGCUGGCGGCGUGCCUAAUACAUGCAAGUCGAGCGAACAGACGAGGAGCUUGCUCCUCUGACGUUAGCGGCGGACGGGUGAGUAACACGUGGAUAACCUACCUAUAAGACUGGGAUAACUUCGGGAAACCGGAGCUAAUACCGGAUAAUAUAUUGAACCGCAUGGUUCCAUAGUGAAAGACGGUUUUGCUGUCACUUAUAGAUGGAUCCGCGCCGCAUUAGCUAGUUGGUAAGGUAACGGCUUACCAAGGCAACGAUGCGUAGCCGACCUGAGAGGGUGAUCGGCCACACGGGAACUGAGACACGGUCCAGACUCCUACGGGAGGCAGCAGUAGGGAAUCUUCCGCAAUGGGCGAAAGCCUGACGGAGCAAAGCCGCGUGAGUGAUGAAGGUCUUCGGAUCGUAAAACUCUGUUAUUAGGGAAGAACAAAUGUGUAAGUAACUAUGCACGUCUUGACGGUACCUAAUCAGAAAGCCACGGCUAACUACGUG
RNAcentral lists this ribosomal RNA (496 nucleotides) under uncultured bacterium. RNAcentral's name for it is "partial 16S ribosomal RNA". It matches the Rfam family "Bacterial small subunit ribosomal RNA", at positions 29 to 507 of the family's 1533-position model. The record is from RNAcentral.